GACGAACGCUGGCGGCGUGCUUAACACAUGCAAGUCGAACGGAAAGGCCCUGCUUUUGUGGGGUGCUCGAGUGGCGAACGGGUGAGUAACACGUGAGUAACCUGCCCUUGACUUUGGGAUAACUUCAGGAAACUGGGGCUAAUACCGGAUAGGAGCUCCUGCUGCAUGGUGGGGGUUGGAAAGUUUCGGUGGUUGGGGAUGGACUCGCGGCUUAUCAGCUUGUUGGUGGGGUAGUGGCUUACCAAGGCUUUGACGGGUAGCCGGCCUGAGAGGGUGACCGGCCACAUUGGGACUAAGAUACGGCCCAGACUCCUACGGGAGGCAGCAGUGGGGAAUAUUGCACAAUGGGCGGAAGCCUGAUGCAGCAACGCCGCGUGCGGGAUGACGGCCUUCGGGUUGUAAACCGCUUUCGCCUGUGACGAAGCGUGAGUGACGGUAAUGGGUAAAGAAGCACCGGCUAACUACGUG
RNAcentral lists this ribosomal RNA (468 nucleotides) under uncultured bacterium. Its description in RNAcentral is "partial 16S ribosomal RNA". It matches the Rfam family "Bacterial small subunit ribosomal RNA", at positions 28 to 507 of the family's 1533-position model. The record is from RNAcentral.